UAUUUGCCGUGAGGAUAGUUAUUCAGCUUUAAUGCCAGUUCUGCUUCUGAAAUUUCGUGACUGAGAGCUGUAAUAUUUUCUGAGCACCUA
This is a non-coding RNA of Lupinus angustifolius (narrow-leaved blue lupine), 90 nucleotides long. The record is from Rfam. NCBI's taxonomy places the organism in Eukaryota, Viridiplantae, Streptophyta, Magnoliopsida, Fabales, Fabaceae.